RNAcentral lists this ribosomal RNA (458 nucleotides) under uncultured bacterium. Its description in RNAcentral is "partial 16S ribosomal RNA". It matches the Rfam family "Bacterial small subunit ribosomal RNA", at positions 338 to 795 of the family's 1533-position model. The record is from RNAcentral.
CCUACGAGUGGCAGCAGUGAGGAAUAUUGGUCAAUGGGCGGGAGCCUGAACCAGCCAAGCCGCGUGAGGGAAGAAGGUACAGCGUAUCGUAAACCUCUUUUGUCAGGGAACAAAGGCGGGGACUAGUCCCCGGAUGAGGGUACCUGAAGAAAAAGCAUCGGCUACCUCCGUGCCAGCAGCCGCGGUAAUACGGGGGAUGCGAGCGUUAUCCGGAUUUAUUGGGUGUAAAGGGUGCGCAGGCGGCGUGUUAAGUCAGCGGUAAAAGCCCGGGGGUAAACCCCGGCGAGCCGUUGAAACUGGCGGGCUGGAGUUGGAGAGAAGUAAGCGGAAUGCGGGGUGUAGCGGUGAAAUGCUUAGAUAUAGCGCAGAACCCAGAUUGCGAAGGCAGCGUACGGGCUCCACACUGACGCUGAGGAACGAAAGCGUGGGUAUCGAACAGGAUUAAUACCCGGGUAGUC